The sequence is a regulatory RNA element, 128 nucleotides long. It matches the Rfam family "Ribosomal protein L20 leader". Rfam says of the family: This family is a putative r-protein leader autoregulatory structure found in B. subtilis and other low-GC Gram-positive bacteria. The record is from Rfam.
AAAUGUAAGUAGAAGCACCCGCUUCUCGCCUUGUGGCUAACGCUGCUGGGCUGAUACGUAAAUAAACCGAACUUUUUAGUUCGGAUAUUUAACGGGUGCGCUGUUAGCACCCGUUUUUUAUUUAGGUG